GUGACCGUGGCGGUGGAGGAGGAGGUAGCCAACACUGUGUUUUAUAUAUAUAUAUAUAUUUUUAAUUGGGGUAGCCCCCAAAAUAUUGGGACAUAUAAACAAGGCAACUCUGUUCUGCAAAGUAGCUGUUGACAUUAUAGUUGCGCAGGCUACUCUGCAGAACAGAGUUGUCUUUUUUUGUUGACUCUAGAGAACCUCGGGCCAAUCGCACAUCCCCGUGAUGGCGACUUUGCAUUCGGAUGUCAUCCAUAUCAACUUUUGAUGCCAGUUUCUCCGCCUACCAUGGUGACCAUGGGUAACGGGGAAUCAGGGUUCCAUUCCAUACAGGGACCCUGAGAAACGGCUACCACAUGCAAGGAAGGCA
Pelobates cultripes (western spadefoot toad) is the source of this 364-nucleotide non-coding RNA. The record is from the annotation of a GenBank genome assembly. Lineage: Eukaryota; Metazoa; Chordata; Amphibia; Anura; Pelobatidae.